UACAGAGGGGGCAAGCGUUGUUCGGAAUUACUGGGCGUAAAGGGCGCGUAGGCGGCCUGCUAAGUCGAACGUGAAAUCCCUGGGCUCAACCCAGGAACUGCGUCCGAUACUGGUUGGCUUGAAUCCGGGAGAGGGAUGUGGAAUUCCAGGUGUAGCGGUGAAAUGCGUAGAUAUCUGGAGGAACACCAGCGGCGAAGGCGGCACUCUGGGCUGGUACUGACGCUGAGGAGCGAAAGCGUGGGUAGCAAACAGG
Molecule: ribosomal RNA, 253 nt
Filed under: uncultured bacterium
Lineage: Bacteria
Description: partial 16S ribosomal RNA
Rfam family: Bacterial small subunit ribosomal RNA
Source: RNAcentral